Molecule: long non-coding RNA, 208 nt
Filed under: Gossypium raimondii (Peruvian cotton)
Lineage: Eukaryota; Viridiplantae; Streptophyta; Magnoliopsida; Malvales; Malvaceae
Description: long non-coding RNA (GRAI_LNC002021)
Source: RNAcentral
UAUUACACCACAUAAUUAGUACUACACCACAUUAAAACAUCGAUAUCUUCAACCUUGAGAAAAUUUUUAAAGCCAAAUUUUUCUAUGCUUCGUGCUUUUGGCUAAGAAAGCUUUGGUCUCGGAUUCACGACCCACAAGAUAAUCUAAUACACUAAAAAGAAAGUUGUCAUCAAAUCUUUUCACCUCCAUCGACAUCACUUCUUCGUAA